This is a non-coding RNA of Zootermopsis nevadensis, 1353 nucleotides long. The record is from RefSeq and is a predicted model, not a curated record. Lineage: Eukaryota; Metazoa; Arthropoda; Insecta; Blattodea; Termopsidae.
AAGUAAAACGUGAAAAAUCAGGCCCACGUUUUCGGAGCUCAAGGAGAAAACGGAACGUGUCCAUGCGUACCUGCCCGAGAAAAGUAGUUCACAUAGGGACGACACGUUCUUCACAAGAGUUACAGCCGUAUUUUAAGAAAAGACUUGAAAUAUUGAACACAGCGAUCGUAUCUGGUCACAAUGGGUUAAAAUAUUCUCAGCACCCUGUAGACUGAGGCAGUAUGUUCCUCCAAAACAUUGGUACCUCAGGAGACCAGCACUGACACGACUACAUCAGCCAGCCUAAUCACAAGACAUGGAAACCUACAAUGAUAGCACCUAACCUCACAUUUAAAAUUAAAAUUGAUUAAAAGUGAAGAAUUGCAGAUCAGCUAAACCUACUCAUUAUGUGGGAAUUUCGUGAUGUAUUAACAUAAUCUAUGGGAAUCAAUUUACAGAAUGAUUUCUGUAUUUUGGAUAAGCAUUAGUCUAGUAACAUUACCCAAUAGCAAAACAAAUCUGCAAGUAAACACGAGGCUUUGAGAAAAUUUUUGGUUGAGUAGCAAAGACGUUGGGAUGGUGGAAAAGCAUAAACUGAAAGGCAUUUUAAAAGCAAAUCCCAAUUCCUGUUUCCAUGUAACAGGACCAUGUACAUGUAGGCUGUAUCACAAAAUGAUAUUUCAGGUUCUCAAGGUAGUGAGUGCGAAGAUGGCUGCCUUCUGGAAUGUACAUUUCAGAUUUGAGGUUAAGGUCAUAAUUAUUAAGAGGAGCACUGAAUUGUUGAUGUGUGGCUCAUGUUCAGAAGGGCGAAAAAUACCUGUUAAAGUACACCUACUUAUUUGACCAAGGAAAGAGCAGUACGUCAGACAGAAUAUUGCAGAAGGAGACGCCGAACGUCGGGAAGUACGGUUAUAAUGAAAUCAUAAUGAAUUUUAAAUACUUUCUUAAAUGUGGCAAGUAACGAAAAAAAUUCUGAAAGAUGUUUUAACACAACACAUGCAAAAUCUAACGCAGAACAUAAAUCUUUCCAGUAACACAGGAAACUACAAAUACAUGGGAUGUUGUUAAUUUUCUGAAGUAUAUUUAAUAUACAUGAUAUUUCAAGAGUUGGUUCUACUCCUGUCUUCAUGAAAUUGGGUCUCGUCAUGAAGAUGGCUGUCUGCUACACUGCACGGUGCAACAACCCACAAGACAGCCAUAUUCCUAUUUGCCACCGAGCGAAACUGAAAUCUCACUUGGUUUUCUUCAAACUGACAGUUGUCACUUGUCACUGACUCAUACGUCAUGUUUGGAGGGAAGAAGUAUGAAAAGGAAGAAUGCUUUCAAUUAAAAUCUAAUAUUUGGGUUGCUAAUGUAAAAAGUCCAUUAUAAAAC